Non-coding RNA from Labrus bergylta (ballan wrasse), 1236 nucleotides. NCBI's taxonomy places the organism in Eukaryota, Metazoa, Chordata, Actinopteri, Labriformes, Labridae. The record is from RefSeq and is a predicted model, not a curated record.
GGCUCUCCAGCAGGAGUUGCCAUGGGAACACUGCAUGUGAUUCGUGGUCCACCAUCCACCUCUCUACUCUAGUCCAGCCCUCCUGCUCUUGUCCUCCAUUUCUUUCAUUUCCCCCAAAGCUGUGCUCAUCAAAAGAAAGCGAGCUCAGAGAGGCUGGAUCACAACACAGCAAACACACACUCCAGCUUCAACAAAGAAAUCCCCAAAAAACUGAAGACCCACAUCCUCCCAUCAUGACUGAAGUCGCCCAACUGGCUUCCUUUAAGCCACAGUUACCCACAAGGAAUCCUUCACACAGUUUCAAUGCUACCUCGAUGACCUUAAACCUCCUGACCUCCACCAAUACGCACGUCCCAUGGGAGGAGGUGCAGUUUCAAGUUCACACCAUCCUGAUUGUGGUCAUUUUUUGUGUUGUCUGCCUCCUGCUCCUGCUUGCCUUCUUCUACGCCUUCUGCCUCCAUUGCUCCAUCAGUUCAUCGCCUAAAGACUCGCACAUAGCCAGCAGAGGCAGCUUAGAGCGGGAGGACGCCACCUACAGGUGCAGUUCACCUGAAAACCAGUCUGUGGGGAAUGUUGUCUAACUUGGACUUUGUUAACUGAAAUUAAACUGUCUAUUAAUGUAUUUGUGGUAAAGCCUACAGAUGUGUUGAAGCACUGUAGAUUUACAGUGGGGAUUUACUGACCAAAAGUAUGUUUCCUUAGCCUUCAACCCAGCUAAUUAGCUAAGAAAAAACGUUUUAGUUAUUUGUUGACCCGCAUGGAAUACAGUCUGCUAUUUAGCACAUUGCUAACAAACCCACAAUGUGUGUAAUUUACCAAGCAAUAUCUAGCCAAGUAGCAUGCUUAACCCAACUGUUGGCUUGUUAGCAUCCUUUUCAAAAUAUUAGAUUCUUAAAAUAAACCUGAAUGUAGAGAUUAGUCGCAGUAGGCAAAAUGCUAAUGUUUUUAAAAAGCGGUUAAAAUAUAGCUAAUCUUCAUUUUGGUCAAACAAUAAGUUUAAUGUUAGACCCACUGGGACAAAUGUUUAUGUUUUUCAUACUUGUCAAUCACAUUGAAAUAAGCUGAAAUACCAAGGUACAAAAGGAUUGUGUCCUGGCUUCCAGGCAUUCUGUUGUGUUUAGGUAAUGUGGGGGAUGCACAUGCAUGUGUGGAUGCAACGUGACCACACAUAGACACAGAAAAAUGAUAAACCAUAUCCAAGGAGCAUUGGGUUCAAUAAAAAAAAAGAUAAAUGUA